AUAUCCAAUUUCAGGAGUAAUCUAAUUUUACUAAGCAGACUAGAUUCAAGUAGCUAUAGGCAUGGAGAGCCAAUGAUAGAAUCUUAAAAGUUUUGCAUGGCAAUAGGAUUGUAUUGAAGGGAAAGAGAUAUAAAGGACAUUAUCUUUUAGCAGAAAGCUGAGUGUGAGGUAGAGCUUCAGGAGUUAGUGGGAGCACAAAACAAGAUGGAGCUAGAAAUAUAGAUGGAUUGGGCAUGAGACGGAAGACUCAGAAGAAUGAUAGGCGACGUCGUAGUAUGAAGUUCUUAUUGCUGUAGGAGGCUAUCUCAAGUAGAUCUCAAGUCAGACAGAUCACAACAUAUAAUGGAGAUGAGAUCAAACGACCUGGCUUGACUUUCAUAUUUGUCCAUCCAUGAGCAGUCGGACAUAUGCCCUA
This 415-nucleotide long non-coding RNA is filed under the name Elaeis guineensis (African oil palm). Its description in RNAcentral is "long non-coding RNA (EGUI_LNC036681)". Lineage: Eukaryota; Viridiplantae; Streptophyta; Magnoliopsida; Arecales; Arecaceae. The record is from RNAcentral.